This 665-nucleotide ribosomal RNA is filed under the name uncultured bacterium. RNAcentral describes it as "bacterial SSU rRNA". It matches the Rfam family "Bacterial small subunit ribosomal RNA", at positions 835 to 1505 of the family's 1533-position model. The record is from RNAcentral.
AACCCCUGGCGCCGUAGCUACGCAUUAGUACCCGCUUGGGAGUACGGCCGCAAGGUUAAACUCAAAGGAAUUGACGGGGGCCCGCACAAGCGGUGAGCAUGUGGUUCAAUUCGACGCAACGCGAAGAACCUUACCUGGGCUAGACAACGGUGGACCGCUCUGGAGACGGAGUUUUCCCUUCGGGGACCGCCGGUUCAGGUGCUGCAUGGCUGUCGUCAGCUCGUGCCGUGAGGUGUUGGGUUAAGUCCCGCAACGAGCGCAACCCUUGCCCUUAGUUGCCACCAUUAAGUUGGGCACUCUAAGGGGACUGCCGGCGUCAAGCUGGAGGAAGGCGAGGAUGACGUCAAGUCAUCAUGGCCCUUAUGCCCAGGGCUACACACGUGCUACAAUGGGCGGUACAGAGGGUUGCUAACCCGCGAGGGGGAGCCAAUCCCGAAAAGCCGUCCUCAGUUCGGAUUGGAGUCUGCAACUCGACUCCAUGAAGGUGGAAUCGCUAGUAAUCGCGAAUCAGCAAUGUCGCGGUGAAUACGUUCCCGGGCCUUGUACACACCGCCCGUCACACCAUGGGAGUGGGUUGCACCAGAAGUAGUUAGCUUAACCUUCGGGAGGGCGAUUACCACGGUGUGAUUCAUGACUGGGGCGAAGUCGUAACAAGGUAGCCGUAG